RNAcentral lists this ribosomal RNA (521 nucleotides) under uncultured Glomus. Its description in RNAcentral is "SSU rRNA". It matches the Rfam family "Eukaryotic small subunit ribosomal RNA", at positions 591 to 1114 of the family's 1831-position model. Lineage: Eukaryota; Fungi; Glomeromycota; Glomeromycetes; Glomerales; Glomeraceae. The record is from RNAcentral.
CCAAUAGCGUAUAUUAAAGUUGUUGCAGUUAAAAAGCUCGUAGGUGAAUUUCGGGGUUAGUCGGUUGGUCAUGCCUCUGGUAUGUACUGGUCUCACUGAUUCCUCCUUCCUGAUGAGCCGUAAUGCCAUUAAUUUGGUGUUGCGGGGAAUUUGGACUGUUACUUUGAAAAAAUUAGAGUGUUUAAAGCAAGCUAACGCUUGAAUACAUUAGCAUGGAAUCAUGAAAUAGGACGUUCGAUCCUAUUUUGUUGGUUUCUAGGAUUGACGUAAUGAUUAAUAGGGAUAGUUGGGGGCAUUAGUAUUCAAUGGUCAGAGGUGAAAUUCUUGGAUGUAUUGAAGACUAACUACUGCGAAAGCAUUUGCCAAGGAUGUUUUCAUUAAUCAAGAACGAAAGUUAGGGGAUCGAAGACGAUCAGAUACCGUCGUAGUCUUAACCAUAAACUAUGCCGACUAGGGAUCGGAUGAUGUUAAUUUUUUAAUGACUCAUUCGGCGCCUUACGGGAAACCAAAGUGUUGGGUUC